UACGAAGGGGGCUAGCGUUAUUCGGAAUCACUGGGCGUAAAGCGCGUGUAGGCGGUCUGAAAAGUCAGAGGUGAAAUCCCAGAGCUUAACUCUGGAACUGCCUUUGAAACUCUCAGACUUGAAUUUGGUAGAGGAUAGUGGAAUUCUUAGUGUAGAGGUGAAAUUCGUAGAUAUUAAGAGGAACACCAGUGGCGAAGGCGACUAUCUGGGCCAAUAUUGACGCUAAGACGCGAAAGCGUGGGGAGCAAACAGG
This 253-nucleotide ribosomal RNA is filed under the name uncultured bacterium. RNAcentral describes it as "partial 16S ribosomal RNA". It matches the Rfam family "Bacterial small subunit ribosomal RNA", at positions 524 to 776 of the family's 1533-position model. The record is from RNAcentral.